GACGAACGCUGGCGGCGUGCUUAACACAUGCAAGUCGAACGGAGAUUAUUAAAUGAAGCUUGCGAUUUAAUAAUCUUAGUGGCGGACGGGUGAGUAACGCGUGGGCAACCUACCCAUAAGCGGGGGAUAACAGUUGGAAACGACUGCUAAUACCGCAUAAGCUAUUAAGGUCGCAUGACCUUAAUAGUAAAGGUGGCGAAAGCUAUCACUUAUGGAUGGGCCCGCGUCUGAUUAGCUAGUUGGUGGGGUAGCGGCCUACCAAGGCAACGAUCAGUAGCCGGCCUGAGAGGGUGGACGGCCACACUGGGACUGAGACACGGCCCAGACUCCUACGGGAGGCAGCAGUGGGGAAUAUUGCGCAAUGGGGGAAACCCUGACGCAGCGACGCCGCGUGAGCGAAGAAGGCCUUAGGGUCGUAAAGCUCUGUUGUAAGGGACGAAUGUUUAUCUGGCGAAUAGUCAGAUAAAGUGACGGUACCUUACCAGCAAGCCCCGGCUAACUACGUGCCAGC
RNAcentral lists this ribosomal RNA (511 nucleotides) under uncultured bacterium. RNAcentral's name for it is "bacterial SSU rRNA". It matches the Rfam family "Bacterial small subunit ribosomal RNA", at positions 28 to 512 of the family's 1533-position model. The record is from RNAcentral.